Long non-coding RNA from Myotis brandtii (Brandt's bat), 684 nucleotides. RefSeq lists it as uncharacterized. Lineage: Eukaryota; Metazoa; Chordata; Mammalia; Chiroptera; Vespertilionidae. The transcript is spliced from 5 exons. The record is from RefSeq and is a predicted model, not a curated record.
GUCUAGGGAGAAGAAUGUGGGAACUUCAAACAAUAACUUAAUGAUGGUUCAGGAAAUUCAGGAAAGACAGGCUGCUGUGGCUUUCUGCCCUUGGAGGAAGCCUCGAUGCAUUGCCCUUUGCAUCUGGAAUGAAAAGUUUGCUCAUGAAGCUGGAGGAAAACUUUAUAUUUUCAGAAGGUGACACCUGAGCCUGCUUGAAUCAGCCUGUCCCUCUGUUUCUCCCAAAGAGUUCUAUUUUUCCUCAUUCUGAAGCCCUAGGUUCUAACCUGUUCUUGACUCACACUGGCCCACACUGCUGUAUCAUCUGCUUGGCUAACACUCAGCCAGAUUUCACCUGGGCAUUGGGGUUACUUCUAAGACCGACUGCCUCUUCAUCCUGUCUGCAGCUGCUUCUUUCGUUGUCCUGAGUUUGUAUAUUUUGAUCUUCUUGAGUAUCCCAGAUCUAAUGCUUACUCCUGGUGGUUCGUGUCAGAAUUGGACUGAACUGUGGGACACCCAGUUGGUGUUAGAGAAUUGCUGGGGGACCAGGUAAGAACUUUGGAGGUACUGACCCUAAAAACUCUCUUCUGAAAAGCGGCCAAGCACCCAGUCUCAGCUGUCUCCACAAGGCACUUCAAAAACAGUUGAAGACCGAGCAUAAUAUUCAACAGAUCCUUCUGAAGUGAAAGGAGAUAUAUCCAUAGA